Molecule: ribosomal RNA, 406 nt
Filed under: uncultured bacterium
Lineage: Bacteria
Description: partial 16S ribosomal RNA
Rfam family: Bacterial small subunit ribosomal RNA
Source: RNAcentral
AUUGAACGCUGGCGGCAGGCCUAACACAUGAAAGUCGAACGAGUGGCGGACGGGUGAGUAAUGUCUGGGAAACUGCCUGAUGGAGGGGGAUAAAUACUGGAAACGGUAGCUAAUACCGCAUACAAUCGGAUGUGCCCAGAUGGGAUUAGCUAGUAGGUGGGGUAAAGGCUCACCUAGGCGACGAUCCCUAGCUGGUCUGAGAGGAGGACCAUCCUCACUGGAACUGAGACACUGUCCAGACUCCUACGGGCGGCAGCAGUGGGUAAUAUUGCACAAUGGGCGCAAGCCAGAUGCAGCCAUGCCGCGUGUAUGAAGAAGGCCUUCGGGUUGUAAAGUACUUUCAGCGUGGAGGCGUUACCCGCAUAAGAAGGACCGGCUAACUCCGUGUCAGCAGCCGCGGUAAUUC